RNAcentral lists this ribosomal RNA (468 nucleotides) under uncultured bacterium. RNAcentral's name for it is "partial 16S ribosomal RNA". It matches the Rfam family "Bacterial small subunit ribosomal RNA", at positions 28 to 507 of the family's 1533-position model. The record is from RNAcentral.
GACGAACGCUGGCGGCGUGCUUAACACAUGCAAGUCGAACGGAAAGGCCCUGCUUUUGUGGGGUGCUCGAGUGGCGAACGGGUGAGUAACACGUGAGUAACCUGCCCUUGACUUUGGGAUAACUUCAGGAAACUGGGGCUAAUACCGGAUAGGAGCUCCUGCUGCAUGGUGGGGGUUGGAAAGUUUCGGCGGUUGGGGAUGGACUCGCGGCUUAUCAGCUUGUUGGUGGGGUAGUGGCUUACCAAGGCUUUGACGGGUAGCCGGCCUGAGAGGGUGACCGGCGACAUUGGGACUGAGAUAGGGACCAGACUCCUACGGGAGGCAGCAGUGGGGAAUAUUGCACAAUGGGCGGAAGCCGGAUGCAGCAACGCCGCGUUCGGGAUGACGGCCUGCGGGUUGUAAACCGCUUUCGCCUGUGACGAAGCGUGAGUGACGGUAAUGGGUAAAGAAGCACCGGCUAACUACGUG